AGGCAUUCAUAAAUACAAUUGAUAUGAAUCAGGGAUAUGCCAGCCGCCCAGUUAAUCAUCUUCUGUUUCAUGUCAACUCACUAUACUCUAUCCUCAACUAGUUCCAUCUAUCUAUGGCCAGAACUACUGGAAUGAAAAAGAGCCAAUCUGAGCGCUGACUGUGUUUGUAAGGUAUCUGCCAAGAAAAUAUUUCUUUAUGAGUUCUGCAGUAAUCCAUUUCCUUAUAUUUUGGUGUUUUUCCUUAAAGCUAAAAGAAGAAAAUACUGAACAGAAACUAGAUGCCAUGUUUCAAGCAGGAAAUGAAGCCCUAGAGCAGUUACCAAACUGCUGGGAACACACAGUGAAAGAGAAAGGGGCCAGGAUGUUUCUAAAGAGAAAAUGUUAGAUGUAGAAGCCUGCCAGCAAGGACGCUUGCAAUGAACUGUUUGUUCUUUUUGGAGUAGCAAAACAGCAGAAACACACACACACACACACACAAACUUUGACUAUCAUCUGUUGUUUUCUCACUUUCCCUAGACCCACACACUGAUGGUGAAAUAGCAGCAA
This is a long non-coding RNA of Hemicordylus capensis (graceful crag lizard), 546 nucleotides long. RefSeq lists it as uncharacterized. The transcript has 2 exons. Lineage: Eukaryota; Metazoa; Chordata; Lepidosauria; Squamata; Cordylidae. The record is from RefSeq and is a predicted model, not a curated record.